UACAGAGGGGCAAGCGUUGUUCGGAAUUACUGGGCGUAAAGGGCGCGUAGGCGGCCUGUUAAGUCGAACGUGAAAUCCCCGGCUCAACCCGGGAACUGCGUCCGAUACUGGCAGGCUUGAAUCCGGGAGAGGGAUGCGGAAUUCCAGGUGUAGCGGUGAAAUGCGUAGAUAUCUGGAAGAACACCGGUGGCGAAGGCGGCAUCCUGGACCGGCAUUGACGCUGAGGCGCGAAGCCAGGGAGCAA
RNAcentral lists this ribosomal RNA (244 nucleotides) under uncultured bacterium. RNAcentral describes it as "partial 16S ribosomal RNA". It matches the Rfam family "Bacterial small subunit ribosomal RNA", at positions 524 to 771 of the family's 1533-position model. The record is from RNAcentral.